RNAcentral lists this ribosomal RNA (253 nucleotides) under uncultured bacterium. RNAcentral describes it as "partial 16S ribosomal RNA". It matches the Rfam family "Bacterial small subunit ribosomal RNA", at positions 524 to 776 of the family's 1533-position model. The record is from RNAcentral.
UACGUAGGGUGCAAGCGUUGUCCGGAAUUAUUGGGCGUAAAGGGCUCGUAGGCGGUCCAUCGCGUCGGGAGUGAAAAGCUGGGGCUCAACCCCAGUCCUGCUUCCGAUACGGGUGGACUAGAGGUAUGCAGGGGAGAACGGAAUUCCUGGUGUAGCGGUGAAAUGCGCAGAUAUCAGGAGGAACACCGGUGGCGAAGGCGGUUCUCUGGGCCUUACCUGACGCUGAGGAGCGAAAGCGUGGGGAGCGAACAGG